CCUGGCUCAGAUUGAACGCUGGCGGCGUGCUUAACGCAUGCAAGUCGAACGCGAACGGGGCUUCGGCCCCAAGUAGAGUGGCGCACGGGUGAGUAACGCGUGGACAAUCUGCCCUUAUGACUGGAAUAACAGUUGGAAACGGCUGCUAAUACCGGAUACGCUCAGGAAGAACUUUUUUGAGGAAAGGCGGCCUCUGCUUGCAAGCUGUCGCAUAAGGAUGAGUCCGCGUCCCAUUAGCUAGUUGGCGGGUAACGGCCCACCGAGGCAACGAUGGGUAGCCGAUUUGAGAGGAUGAUCGGCCACACUGGGACUGAAACACGGCCCAGACUCCUACGGGAGGCAGCAGUGGGGAAUAUUGCGCAAUGGGCGAAAGCCUGACGCAGCGACGCCGCGUGAGGGAUGAAGGUUUUCGGAUCGUAAACCUCUGUCAGAAGGGAAGAAACUGCCGUGCUCCAACCAUCAUGGCAUUGACGGUACCUUCAAAGGAAGCACCGGCUAACUCCGUGCCAGCCGCCGC
Molecule: ribosomal RNA, 517 nt
Filed under: uncultured bacterium
Lineage: Bacteria
Description: bacterial SSU rRNA
Rfam family: Bacterial small subunit ribosomal RNA
Source: RNAcentral